UCAUAUUAAACCCUAGCUUCGGAAAUUCUUUAUAUAAGUGAACCCAAUAGCCGCCUCUCAAACAUCAAACACUUCUUCCCCAAUUCAAUCUCUCUUCUCUGAUUUCUCCUGUAUCCGCAGCGAUGCCGAUCUGUUCUUUCGAAAUCGCGAUUUAAGCAAACAAAGACUGAAUUUGAUAUUUUCUGAAUUUAUUUUUGAUUGGCACAUACAUUUUGUAAUUUUCCAGAUGAUUAUAAAUCAUUAGUUUUUUUCCGUUAUA
Molecule: non-coding RNA, 259 nt
Organism: Erythranthe guttata (spotted monkey flower)
Lineage: Eukaryota; Viridiplantae; Streptophyta; Magnoliopsida; Lamiales; Phrymaceae
Source: RefSeq, a predicted model, not a curated record